Molecule: ribosomal RNA, 467 nt
Filed under: uncultured bacterium
Lineage: Bacteria
Description: partial 16S ribosomal RNA
Rfam family: Bacterial small subunit ribosomal RNA
Source: RNAcentral
ACGAACGCUGGCGGCGUGCUUAACACAUGCAAGUCGAACGGAAAGGCCCUGCUUUUGUGGGGUGCUCGAGUGGCGAACGGGUGAGUAACACGUGAGUAACCUGCCCUUGACUUUGGGAUAACUUCAGGAAACUGGGGCUAAUACCGGAUAGGAGCUCCUGCUGCAUGGUGGGGGUUGGAAAGUUUCGGCGGUUGGGGAUGGACUCGCGGCUUAUCAGCUUGUUGGUGGGGUAGUGGCUUACCAAGGCUUUGACGGGUAGCCGGCCUGAGAGGGUGACCGGCCACAUUGGGACUGCGAUACGGCCCAGACUCCUACGGGAGGCAGCAGUGGGGAAUAUUGCACAAUGGGCGGAAGCCUGAUGCAGCAACGCCGCGUGCGGGAUGACGGCCUUCGGGUUGUAAACCGCCUUCGCCUGUGACGAAGCGUGAGUGACGGUAAUGGGUAAAGAAGCACCGGCUAACUACGUG